GUACUCCUUCUUCACUUUGAUAUCAACAUUGACACUUGGAGGGUCUUCACUUUCAUCAACAAUGUUCCAAAGGUCCAAUGAAGCCAAUAAAAGCUCUAUUUUCUUCUUCCAAUGGUAAAAGUUGUCACCCCUAAACUUCUCAAUCACUCUCAAGCUCUCACCUUCACUUAAAGCCAUGUCUAAGGAAGUGAUGUAUGAAAGAAAAUCAAAAAAAGAAGAUAUAGAACUCUCAAAAUCAAUAAGAAGGUGUUGCUGCCUUAGAAACCUAGAAUGUCUUCUUUGUAAGUAAAUAAGUGAUUUCACUCUUGUAUCACUCUCAACUUCACAUAUAAGACUUCUCACAAGUCUCAUAUUCUAUCUGAACCUCUUAUAUAAGCUUUGCCACUCUUCAAUCAUCCCUCUUUUUUCACAAAAUACUUCUGACCUC
This 427-nucleotide long non-coding RNA is filed under the name Physcomitrium patens. Its description in RNAcentral is "long non-coding RNA (PPAT_LNC002872)". The record is from RNAcentral. Lineage: Eukaryota; Viridiplantae; Streptophyta; Bryopsida; Funariales; Funariaceae.